RNA transcript from Rhodamnia argentea, 5382 nucleotides. RefSeq lists it as uncharacterized. The record is from RefSeq and is a predicted model, not a curated record. The transcript has 8 exons. NCBI's taxonomy places the organism in Eukaryota, Viridiplantae, Streptophyta, Magnoliopsida, Myrtales, Myrtaceae.
GCAUCGCCCCCCCAAAUUCGAGAUCAUAUCUCCCUCUCUCGCUCGCGCUGAGCAGCUGGAAGCGCGGCGGCGGAUUCUCGGGCUACGCAUUCGUCUCGCUUCGAUCUCGUCGGUUCCUGAGGCGGAGGCGCCGGAGGAAGCGAACGGCAAGUGACGGAUUCGGUUUGCGUCCUUCGAUUCUGUCCGAGUUGAUGAACGGAGUGAGUAGUGAGUGGGUGGUGCGGAUUUCCUGGACCUAAGGUGUCGGUGGGCAAGAAAAGGUGGUACGAAUUGAAAGCCCAGGUCUCAUCAAUAUGUAUGGCCAGGGAAACUAUGGUCAUCAGACUGGUCAAGGUCCUAACGCGCAACAUCAUCUCUUGCCUCGUCCUACUUCUUCCCAACCUCUGGCAGCACCGAGUUCUGUAAUGCAUCGGCCUCCUCCUGCUGUCCCUCCUCAGAUCAAUCAGCUCUUACCAAUGUCUGAUCAGGUUCCUCGAGGACCACCUUUUCAGGGUCCUCCUACUGGAAUGCCAAACCCUACUAACCCGUCUCAUGCCUCCCUUCCCCAGCCUCCGCCAAUACUCGGAAGAAUGCCGAUGGCUGGCCCUUCUGGCAAUUCUCAGCAUAACCUACGUUAUCCUUUGCAUGUAGGGACUCAAAAUUCUCAUCGCUUUCCGACUCCCUCACCUCCUCCUCCUCCUCCUCCUCUUGUUCAAGGGCACACUACAUACUGGCACCCAGUCAAUUCGCAGCCUAAGCAGCCUAUUUCUGUACAAGGUCCUCCAAUCCCCAAUACCCCACCCCCACCCCCGCCGCCUCCGCCUCCCCCUCCCCAACCUCCACUUCCACAUACUUCUUUGUCACCUGUUCGACCUUCUCCACACUUCUGUAGACCUCUGCUGCCCGCAUCUUCUAUGUCCAAUAUUUCUUCUUCCGAAUUGGCACUUGAUGGUUCUGGACAGAGAAAUGAUAAAGUUGUCACCACUGAAGGAAGGGUUGUGGAGUCAUUAGGUAAAGGGUACGGAUCCAUUUCUGCAUUAGAUAGAAGCACGGCUUUGGAGAUAGACAUCCAUCCAGCUCCACCAAAACCAGCUGACGAGAAAAUCACGAAAAGGAUCGAAACUUUAUGCCAGUUUAUUGCCAAGAAUGGCCCUGGUUUUGAAGAUAUGGCUCGAACCAGGGAGUCUGCAAAUCCUGAGUUCAAAUUUCUUUUUGGUGGUGAGCCUGGAAGUGAUGCUGCGGUUGCACAUGAAUAUUAUCAAUGGGCAAAGAAAACAUACACUUUUGGAGAUAAGUUGCAGGAAGGUGCCUUAAACUUAAGGCCUUCGGAGGCUGGUAUUUCUGUGCAGACCAAACCAUUCGUUAUGACUUCCGUAGUGCAUCCGAAUUCUGAUUCUGACAUGGAGAUGGAAGAUGAUAUUACCCAGGUUGACAUGGAUCAGGAGAUUGAAAGACCAGUUGAAUAUCACCGUGAGGACUCUGAUUUGGUUCGUGAUGAUCAUAACGGGAAAGAGCCGACAAUGCCACAAAUUGUUCAGUGUACAUCACCUCAGGAUAUUUUGUGCAAUAAAGUUCUUUUUUCAGAGGUUCCAGGUCGGAGCGAUUAUGUACAUCAAGGAUCUGGGAUUCUUCCUAAUCAGGAGUGGUUGCUACCUGGGAGUCCAUCAAAUAGGAUCUGCUCAGACUCUAAUCUGCCUGAACCUGCUGGAGCGAGCAUUGCCAAAAUAUCGACCACUGUCCCAGCCAAUGUUUCAAGCCCUCCAAUUGCUUCACCAACUGUCACAAGAGGUAGGCCAUUCAGAUUAGUGCAAGACUAUGCUUCCGACGACGGCUCGGAGAACUCUGCUGUGCCGCAUUCCAAAGAAAAGCAUACAAUGGCCGAACUGUCAGUUUCAUCUGGUUAUAUAAACAAGUCUGAUUAUACUGAAUGUAGAUCUGAGUCAGAUUUACAAGUUUCAAACCUCGGCGAGAUUGAACAGGUCGGUAGACCACUAUCAGAAUCUGGGAAAUCAUUUGUAGCUCCAACUCGUGUUUCCAAUGUGAAGACUAGGAUCGUGGAAACUGUUGCAACCUCAUCUGAAAUUGGGCUGAGUGAUGAACCUUCUGAUACGAACUACAAUCGCCAAGGAACAAUUCGCACUGCUGCGUCUUCAGAAGCUUUUGCUAGAAAUAACAGCUUAAGAAGUCUAAGCACUGGGUCACAUGAGAAUUGUACGUCUGAGAAGGAAACCGGAGGAGAGAAACUAAGGCCCAAUUCAACUGCAGUACAAGUGGAUGAAUUUGGGAGGCUGGUGAGGAAAGGAGCUAGUGACAGUGAUUCUGAUGAUUCAUUAUAUUCUGGGAGGCGUCAUAAGAAAAGGGAGAGAAGUCGGAGCAGGAGCCAGUCUCCAGUAGGUAGAAGGAAUAGACGGAGGAGGAGUUUGCAGAGGACCAGAGACAGACGAAACCGAUCUCGCAGCUGGUCUCCCAGGGGCCGAAGAAGCAAGAGCAGGUCUCCUGUUUUGAGGCAUUCGAAAGAACUUGGCAAUGAUGGUAUGAGACGGAAUAAAAGUCGGAUGCCUGAGUGUUUUGACUUCCUUCGAGGUAGGUGCUACCGUGGUGCUUCUUGCCGCUAUUCGCACCAUGAAGCAGAGAUGGAGCGAUCAAAACGCCAAAGGAGGAGAGCAGAGACUCCUGAAAUGCCUUUACGCUCCAAUAAAACUGAUUUGGAGAAUCUGUCUGCCAGAGUUCCAUAUGGUGGGGAUAGUGAAGUCAAGAACAAACCUUGGCAAAUUCACAAGAACGUGCCAGAUGGAAUCUCUGAUGCUGUUAAACAUGAGAAAAGAGACGAUUCUCUGGGACAUGCCUCGCGAGCUUAUGUUUUCAGUAGGGAUGGUAUAGCUGGUGAAGAUGAACCCAAGAACGACAAGGAGGGUGGUGUUGACAUGCACCUGCCAUAUAGACAAUUAGUUCCAGAAGAUGAUUCUUCCACUAGAAUUCCUUGUACUAAGAAAUUUGAGGAAGGAGUUGGGACUCACCAGCCAAUCUCAGUUGAUAGGUUUAUAGAGCAACCUCUCGGCGGUGCUGAUUCACUGAAGUCUCGCACUGAUAAUGCUUUCCAAUCUGCUAGAAAGAAUCUAUUAGCAGUGUCUUCUCAGUCCAGUCCUUCCAGGGGUGGGCCUCAAAAUGCUAAUAACCUGCCUCAGCUUGAUGAUUCUUCUCAGCCAUUGCCUGACAAAAUAGCUGCAAUAAUCUCUGCGAGCGAAUCUCUUCCAGGUAUUCCACACCAUCCUCCUCAACGGCCUCAACAUCUUUCCCCGUUCAUGCAAGGUGCAGUCACUGGAAAUUUGCAGCAGGUGGCUGGGGAUCAUGUUGUGCAACAGUCUCCUUAUGCAUCUCAAUGUCUUCCUUUGUCCAUGCUAUCAUGCAAUCAACAGCCUCUUGUUUCUGCACCACAGAAUUCCAACUGGAGCUCCAUGCUGCCGCCACAGCCAUUUCCACAUGUACAAUAUGAUUCGGCAGUGAAGGGAGGAGCAGUCGGCCCUGCUCUUUAUACGGAAUUUCAGCAGAGUCACGUGUCACAUACUAACAUCAGUUCUCAGAUGUUGAAACCUUACCCAACUGGAGUGCCUGCUCAUUCACACGUGGGUGAGUUUCCACCCGGAGCAUACUCUGCGGAGCCGGUUCCUGGUCAAUCUCUUAAGCCCAGAGAAGAUUAUAGAUCAAGUACCUACGUUCCUGGCAAUAUACCCGGUCCACCGGUUGCAGGUCCUGGUUCAGCGGGGCCAGCCCAUCCUACUGAACCACAACGUUACCCAAGUGGCAGCAUGCCACCGCCUGAAGUCCUGAAGUUGUCUUCGCAAGUUCAUCCGUAUGUGCAGCAGCAAAACCCUCCCCCUGCUUUGCGACACGGUGGAUCUGCCUUUGCAUCUCCAGGAGGGCUGAGCUCAUCUACAUUUUUGCCUGAUGGUUUGGGCGGGAAGCAGACUUCUGCUCUGGAUUAUGGAAGACUGAGAAGGUCUUCUCACAACCCUUAUGCAUCUACUUUUGAGCAGCCAUUGAUCUCCAAAUUUAGUUCUGGUGCUUUUGGGCAAAACUACCACAGUAGAUAUAACACAGCUUUCCCUUUCAGUCAUGCAUCAGUUGAUGGAAUAGGCAUCGGCAGUGUUGGAUCAAGACAAACAACUUCCUCACCAAAAUCUGCCACGUUGAUGGACCGGGAUUUACCACGUGUGGGUGGUGAUCAAUAUGAUCCACUUUUUGACAGUAUUGAACCCUCUUCAAGUUCAGUCAAGAAAGCUGACCGUGCACAUAAGGCGGAAUCAGUUGAUGAUAGCGAUGUCAUCCUGAGGACCAGUGAUUCGAAUACGCCAUUAGAUGUGGAAGAGAACAAUAAAAGGAAAGAGAUUGGAGCCUUCGCUCCGUCCAUAUCUGUAGAUGAUGAUGGGUUUGGUGAGACUGCAGAAGUGGAAGUUGGUGCAGUUGAGAAUGCGAGCAUCAGUAAUCCAAUUGAUGCAGCAGAUGCCACAGAGUUUGAAAUGGAGAUUGAUCAGAUCAAAUCCCCUGGGAAGAGCAAGAAGCGCAAGGAUUCUAGGUCGAUGAAACUUUUCAAAAUUUCCCUUGCAGAUUUUGUGAAGGAAGUUCUACGGCCAUCGUGGCGGCAAGGGAAUAUGAGCAAAGAGGCAUUUAAGACUAUUGUGAAGAAAACUGUUGACAAAGUAACUGGGGCUAUGAAGAGCCACCACAUACCGAAAUCUCAAGCAAAGAUAAAUCACUACAUUGAUUCUUCACAACGCAAACUUACAAAACUUGUGAUGGGAUAUGUCGAUAAGUAUGUCAAUGUGUAGAUAUGAAACUGAUGGAUUUCAAGGCCAUAUGUAUCGUCCCAGAGGUUUGGCUGAGCUUUGUACAAUUCGGAUGUCGAAAUGAUAAUGAGCAGAUAAUUCAACCCACCAACAGUUUGCUCUAGUCUAUGGAUGGGAGUGAAAAUUGAUUAUGAGCCUUUCAGGUACUAGACUGUGUAACUAUGGAGGAUGAGGAAGCUCUGCGAUUCUUGUACUCUGGCCACAGAAAAGUUCACUUACGGAGCCGAGAAGUGGGUGUCUCGUUUAGCAGUCUUGGAGCAAUUUUCCAUAGAAACUACAGAGCCCAUUUACAUUCUAUCCUGUUGGGCUUGACGUUCUUGUGGAUUCAUGUAAAAAGCUUCACCUGAUCCUGAAAGUAGUACAACCUCCUCUGGAAGUUUUUGCUCCCAAAAGUCCGAUUCGUCUUUGUGAAGGUGUGCUUAUCAAGGUUAUUGUGAUGAGAGACUGACGGUCUUGUUCCUCGUUGUGAGCAUAUGUCCAUGUAACGUCACCUGAUAAUGCAUGUUUCUUUUGUUAAGUUGAACAAAAAUCUUAAUUUGGAUAGUCAAUAUAAUUGUCU